Molecule: long non-coding RNA, 1163 nt
Organism: Mugil cephalus (flathead mullet)
Lineage: Eukaryota; Metazoa; Chordata; Actinopteri; Mugiliformes; Mugilidae
Exons: 7
Source: RefSeq, a predicted model, not a curated record
GACGAAGAAGGUCAAAAACUAGAGAGGAAACAGAAGAAGGGUUUCUUCAGUAUCUUUGAGAAAAAGAAGAAACCUGAGGAGGAGAAACCACCGACCCCAUCAGAAAACCUGCAGAGCCUCCUGUCCCUGAAAGACCUCUUUGCUGGCAUCAGAUCUAUGGAGCCGGUCUGGAGCUCAGCUAGUGAGACAGCUAUAGUCGGCUCAUGUGUAUGCGAAGAAAGGAAGAAGUCGACAUACGUCCUUUUUCAUAAGAGACACGAGAGUCUAAAACUGGAUGAAUACUGGAGACUGGAUGAGCAUCGGGAUCCCUCUGAUCAUGUAGGAACAACCACAGGGACAAGGUUAAGUAUGUACUAACCCUCUCUUGUCUUCAGUGCAGAUUUUAGGGGCAAGGACCUGAAGGCACCAGGAUCCCCCAGAAAGAGUGUCUUAUUCCUGGCAUUAUCGUGUCCAAAGGAGCAGCCACAGGGACAGAGAGGUUAGUUGUUAGUUCUCUCCAUCAUCACUGUAGACUCCAGGACCUGAAUGCACCACGAACCUCAACAAUAGUGCCAGGAUCAUUGAGUCUGCAGGAGCAGCUUCUUCUCAGGGUAGCGGUUGGUACUGUGUGGUCAGCACCAACAGCCACGUUGGCACCGCACAAGGAUGACACUACAUCGCUGACGCUCUACAUCCAGACUACUGUCUCUACGAGCCGAGUGACCGCUGGCUCACACUGAACAACUCAAAGUUGGUGAAUGUGGAGGGUGAGGACAGCAGACCAAGGAAGACCAAGAAGACCAGUGUUGGGUAGAUGGAGAGAAGCACCAUCUGGAGGACACCACAACCCACCUCCACCACCAUCACACCCCCUGGAGAAGGACACACCGAUGGCCUGAAGGAGCUGGAUGUCCCCCCUGCCCUCAGGAGGAAGGACCCCAGAGAGCCUGGUUCCUCUCAAGGUUUCUUCCUCUUAAAGGGAGUUUUUUCUUGCCACUGUCGCCCCAUAAAAGCUGGACAAUGAACAACUAACCCAUUGGAUAUAUUUGAUUAAAUUAAAUUGAUUUAAUUUUAAAAAUAAAUUGAUUAACUUCAAUUUACUUUUACAUCUUUAAUGGUUAGAUGGUUGUUCACUCUAGCAGUUUUUUUUUGGCUUGCUCUCUGGGGAAGGUUUGUAUGUACAA